AUUGAACGCUGGCGGCAGGCUUAACACAUGCAAGUCGAGCGGAGUGAUGGUGCUUGCACUAUCACUUAGCGGCGGACGGGUGAGUAAUGCUUAGGAAUCUGCCUAUUAGUGGGGGACAACAUCUCGAAAGGGAUGCUAAUACCGCAUACGUCCUACGGGAGAAAGCAGGGGAUCACUUGUGACCUUGCGCUAAUAGAUGAGCCUAAGUCGGAUUAGCUAGUUGGUGGGGUAAAGGCCUACCAAGGCGACGGUCUGUAGCGGGUCUGAGAGGAUGAUCCGCCACACUGGGACUAGGACACGGCCCAGACUCCUACGGGAGGCAGCAGUGGGGAAUAUUGGACAAUGGGGGGAACCCUGAUCCAGCCAUGCCGCGUGUGUGAAGAAGGCCUUAUGGUUGUAAAGCACUUUAAGCGAGGAGGAGGCUCUUUUGGUUAAUACCCAAGAUGAGUGGACGUUACUCGCAGAAUAAGCACCGGCUAACUCUGUGCCAGCAGCCGCAGUAA
Molecule: ribosomal RNA, 503 nt
Filed under: uncultured bacterium
Lineage: Bacteria
Description: partial 16S ribosomal RNA
Rfam family: Bacterial small subunit ribosomal RNA
Source: RNAcentral